Molecule: long non-coding RNA, 3786 nt
Filed under: Macaca mulatta (Rhesus monkey)
Lineage: Eukaryota; Metazoa; Chordata; Mammalia; Primates; Cercopithecidae
Description: lncRNA (ENSMMUG00000057463.1)
Source: RNAcentral
AUGAGGGAUGCAGAGCAGCUGAGGCUCCGUUUGGCACCGCCGCUCCGAGGGCGUCCUGCGCCCUCCAAGGCCCGGUCCCAGGGGCUGCGGGGAAGCCGGGCCCGGGGACCCCCUCCCACCCUGGGCCGAGCCCCCCGCUCCCUGUGCGGCCUGUCCCAGGCUUCCAGGUCUCUGCUUCCGCGCGCCAGGCGGCGCUCCACCUCCGCGGCAUCGCCCGUGACAGCGCCCUGUGGAUCCUCCGCAGUUCCGCGUCCCAGAUUCGGUGCCCCGAACCCGUGCAGACGUGGUCUGUGGGGCCCAGGCCCGCUGGCCCCUGCGGCUCCCGAAGCCGAAGAACUUCUUCAAGGAGCAAUGCGAGUGGGAGCACCAGGAGCCCAAUCUCAGAGUGGGACACCACGGAUUGUUUUAUGAAAACGGCAGCUGGGAUGUGGAGGAAGAGCCCCCUGCAAGUUGGACAGGAGCCACAAGCUGCACUCUGAACCUGACCACUCUGCACCAAUGCCAUCGGCCCGUGGGUCUCCGAGGGGACCUGCCAAUUGGACUGCAAAUUCCCCAGUUUGCCCCCAGGUAUUAUAGAAAAUUAUUUGUGUAAAUAAUGUAAAGAAAACACACCUAUGGCAAAAACAUAUGCAUGCUCUUUCACACAGGGUGAAAUCAUAACUGGCCUCAUCUAAACAUUUCCUUAAAGAUCAGCCAAAUCUAGGUCAAUUCUGGUAAACAUAUUAUAUUCAACCUUAAAGGUUGCCACCAUUAGAUGCAUGGCUAUGGUAGUAUGGUACCUACCUCUAAACUAGUGAAUCGAAUGCAGGUAAGAAUUCAGAAAUGCCCCCAGAUUAUUUCAAAGCCAAAUUUCAGCUAAGGUCUCCACAAAAUGGCUAUUUUCAAACAUAGCACAUUCUGACUGGGUUUGCUGAGGUACUUUCCCUCGUACAUUUUUUUUGUCCUGGGACUGGGGGUUGUGGAAGGAAAGACUGCUUUGCAAUAUUGCAUAAUAAAUAUGGUUCUAAAAGUGCAGGUGUUAGAAAUAUCUUCCCUAAUUAACCACACUCCUAUGUAAGUGAAAAGGAAAUCUGAAAAUUUUAGUGGCAAAUUACUUCUUCUGAAACUAAUCUUAAUGUUGGACUUCUUUAUUCAUUAGUUUCUCUUUGAUAUUCGUAUCAUCCCCGUAACUCACUCUUCUUUCACACCAACCUGCACCCCGCAAGGCUGUUGUAAAGAAUUACCUUUAAAAAAUCUUAUAAGCAGCUGGAACAUUUUCAUUCCAGUUAUCAACGAGAUCGUUCAUGGUUCUUUAACUAGAAUAGAAAUGUUAGAAAAAGAAUAAAAUCUGUUGUAGUUUUACAUAAAGAACACUACUUCCAAUUUUAUACAGAACUAUAAAUUAAAAUAAACUAAUGGAAAUAGUUAUUUGUAAAUAAUUACUUUGAUCAUCAACUUUUGAUCUCUAUUCUCCUCCAAAGCAUUCAUACUUCAGGGUCUCACGAUUUAGGUCCAAGUCUCCUCUGUGUCACUAAAUGUCUACCACUUUCCCUUUCCACACCCCAUAGAGCCCAGAUGCCAGAGAAAUAAAAGGUUAAAAAACAAGCAUCCUGGCUGGGUGCAGUGGCUCCUGGUUGUAAUCCCAGCACUUUGGGAGGCCGAGGUGGGAGGAUCUCAUUGAGCUCCAGAAUUUGAGACCGGCGUGGGCAAUAUGGCAAGACCCCGUGUCUCUACUGAAAAUACAAAAAUUAGCCAGGCGUAGUGGUGUGUGCCUGUAAUCCCAGCUACCCAGGAGGCUAAGGCAGGAGAUUCAUUGAAUCUGCAAGGUAGAGGUUGCACUGAGCUGAGAUCGUGACACUGCAUUCCAGCUUGGGUGACAGAGCAAGACUGUCUCAAAAAAAGAAAGAAAGAGAAAGAAAGGAAGAAAGGAAGAAAGAAAGAAAGGAAGAAAGAAAGAAAGAAAGAAAGAAAGAAAGAAAGAAAGAAAGAAAGAAAGAAAGAAAGAAAGAAAGAAAGAAAGAAAGAAGGAAAGAAGGAAAGAAAGAAAGAAAAGAAAGAAGGAAAGAAGGAAGGAGAAAAAGAAAGAAAGAAAGAGAAAGAAAGAAAAAACUGUUAAUUGUUUUAAAAACAAAAUCAUUCCCAACGUAUGUUCCCUCACAUUCCUAAAUUUUUGCAAGUGCUGUCUCUUCUAUCUACGAAAAGUGUUUCUACUUCGUUGGAAACGUUGAUGUUACAUAACACUCAACUCUGACCUACAAAGAAUAAGUCUGGCUUCCUAUGACGUUCCAGGAGACAGCGAAAGGCAGCUUGAAAAGCAUCCUCCCAUCCCGGGUCUGGUAUUCCAGUGCACCCACAACUUCCCUCCCUCUUGCAGAUCCCAACACAUACUGAGCUGCUCAUGGCUCCAUCGCUGGGCUCGCAUUCUUCUCAUUGCUGGAAUGGAAUGACCUUCCUCUGCUUGCUUCACUUGCCUCGAUAGCUUUUAAGGUUCUCUUUUAAAUUUUACCACCAGGCCCUAAAUUUCAUCCACCAUACAUGAGGAUGAUCCUAGGUGGACAUCAGAAUCCAAUUGGACAUCCCGUCUCCAGGUGGAUAAUAGACCCCUGGUGGAUGUCCAGCCCCAGGUUGACACCAAGGCUCCAGGCAAACACCAGGCCCAAGGUGAGCAUUAGGCUUCCGGUAAACACCAGACCCAUGUGGAUUACUAGGCCUCCGGCAGACGUCAGGCCCCAGGUGUACCCUCGGGCCCCAGGUGAGUAUCUAUGCCCCAGCUGAACAUCAGUCAACAGGUGGAUGCCCAAGCCCUUGGUAAACACCAGACAACAAAUGAACAUCAGGCCCCAGAGAGACAUUUGGUCCAGGUGGAUACCUAGGUGGCCUGGUGAACCUCAGGCUCCUGAUAACCACCCAGGCCACAGAAAGAUAACAGGCCACACCUAAACACCCAGGCCUCAGGUGGGUAUCAGGCCCCAGCUAAACACCAGGCCCCAAGUGGACACUGAACUCAGGUGCCAGGCUGACACCCAGGCCCAGUUGCACACCAGGUCAUAGGGGAAUAUCAGGCCCCGAGAGGAUACUCAAGCCCCAAGUAGGUAUCAGACUGCAGGUGAACACCCAUCCCCAGAAGAACACCCAGAACACCCAUCCCCAGAGGCUACGCAAGCCCCAAGUAGCCAUCAGGCCCCAAGCGAACACCAAGCCCGACGUGGAUAUCAGAACCCAGGUAGGCACCCGGCCUAGGGAGUACUCCUAGGCCCCAGGUAGACAAGGUCCCACGUGCACACGUGGCACCAGGUGAAUAAUCAGUCCCAAUGUGGACACAGGAUCCCAGGUGAACAUCAGGCUCAAGGCUGACAGCCAGGCACCAGGUUUACAUGAGGACUCAAGUGAAAACUUCACUCCGAAUGGACAUCAGACCCCAGGCGAAAUUCAGACCCAAGUGAAUACCAAGUGAUACCUAGGCUCCACUUGGACAGCUAGUCCCCAGGAUUUCAGGCCCUAGGGUGACACCAGGCUCCAGGUGGACAUCAGGCUCAUGGUAGAAAUUAAGAUACAAGUGACACCUAAGAAUUCGGUAAACAGGAGAGCACAUGUAAAUACUAGGCGCCAGGUGAACACCCACGCCCAGGAUGACACCAGGCCCCAGGUGAACAUCACGUCCAGGGUAACAUCAGGCCUCAUAUGGAUACCUAGAUGCCUGGUGAACGUGAACAUCAGGCCACAGAUUGAAACCAAAGCCACAGAAGGGUAUCAGACCCCAUGUAAAACCAGGCCCAGGUGGGAUCAAGACCCCCCGGUAAACAGCAG